RNAcentral lists this ribosomal RNA (252 nucleotides) under uncultured bacterium. RNAcentral's name for it is "partial 16S ribosomal RNA". It matches the Rfam family "Bacterial small subunit ribosomal RNA", at positions 524 to 776 of the family's 1533-position model. The record is from RNAcentral.
UACGAAGGGGGCUAGCGUUGCUCGGAAUCACUGGGCGUAAAGCGCACGUAGGCGGCUUUUUAAGUCAGGGGUGAAAUCCUGGAGCUCAACUCCAGAACUGCCUUUGAUACUGAAAGCUUGAGUCCGGGAGAGGUGAGUGGAACUGCGAGUGUAGAGGUGAAAUUCGUAGAUAUUCGCAAGAACACCAGUGGCGAAGGCGGCUCACUGGCCCGGUACUGACGCUGAGGUGCGAAAGCGUGGGGAGCAAACAGG